CAGUCGCCGCGGGAAUACGAAGGGUGCAAGCGUUACUCGGAAUUACUGGGCGUAAAGCGUGCGUAGGAGGUGGUUUAAGUCCGUUGUGAAAGCCCUGGGCUCAACCUGGGAAUUGCAGUGGAUACUGGGUCACUAGAGUGUGGUAGAGGAUAGUGGAAUUUCCGGUGUAGCAGUGAAAUGCGUAGAGAUCGGAAGGAACAUCUGUGGCGAAGGCGACUAUCUGGGCCAACACUGACACUGAGGCACGAAAGCGUGGGGAGCAAACAGGAUUAGAUACCCCAGUAGUCCCUGUCUCUUAUAC
This 301-nucleotide ribosomal RNA is filed under the name uncultured bacterium. RNAcentral describes it as "partial 16S ribosomal RNA". It matches the Rfam family "Bacterial small subunit ribosomal RNA", at positions 509 to 807 of the family's 1533-position model. The record is from RNAcentral.